This is a non-coding RNA of Glycine soja, 114 nucleotides long. The record is from Rfam. Lineage: Eukaryota; Viridiplantae; Streptophyta; Magnoliopsida; Fabales; Fabaceae.
UUCUGAUUGGACGAUGACCAUCACGUUCUGAUUGGAUGUUAACUUUAUGGACGAUGAAAAUGUAUUGUUGUUGUCAACGUCCAAUCUGAACGUGAUAUGUAACAGUCAUCGUCU